GUUAUAGUGAAGGUCAGGUCAGUGACCAACCUCAAGGUCACUAUAGGUCAGUAAACCUUCAAUGGUCGUACAGGAGAGAUGUGUUGCUCCUCCUCCUGCUGCCCCGCCGGCUUUACCGCUUCCUCAGCUUCUUAAUAGAUCUAAAUAAUAGUCAAGAGGAACACUGUUGAUUACCACCAGCAACUGCAGUGACACCAAACAUCAACCUACUGGUCACUGUACAUCAAUACUGAUGAAGUCAUUGACAGGAGAAAAUAAAAGUGAAGGUAAAGAAUAGCAACAACACAAGACAAGGUCACAGGUAAAACUAGAAGUAAUCCAUUAUGCAAUCCAGUAGAUAAGAAAAUACCUACAAGUGGAGGAUUGAUUCCAUGGUCCAAGAAGUUGAGGAAACAGUGUUUAAUACAAGAACA
Cherax quadricarinatus is the source of this 413-nucleotide non-coding RNA. The record is from RefSeq and is a predicted model, not a curated record. Lineage: Eukaryota; Metazoa; Arthropoda; Malacostraca; Decapoda; Parastacidae.